RNAcentral lists this ribosomal RNA (497 nucleotides) under uncultured bacterium. RNAcentral describes it as "partial 16S ribosomal RNA". It matches the Rfam family "Bacterial small subunit ribosomal RNA", at positions 28 to 507 of the family's 1533-position model. The record is from RNAcentral.
GAUGAACGCUGGCGGCGUGCCUAAUACAUGCCAGUCGAGCGAACGGACGAGAAGCUUGCUUCUCUGAUGUUAGCGGCGGACGGGUGAGUAACACGUGGAUAACCUACCUAUAAGACUGGGAUAACUUCGGGAAACCGUAGCUAAUACCGGAUAAUAUUUUGAACUGCAUGGUUCAAAAGUGAAAGACGGUCUUGCUGUCACUUAUAGAUGGAUCCGCGCUGCAUUAGCUAGUUGGUAAGGUAACGGCUUACCAAGGCAACGAUGCAUAGCCGACCUGAGAGGGUGAUCGGCCACACUGGAACUGAGACACGGUCCAGACUCCUACGGGAGGCAGCAGUAGGGAAUCUUCCGCAAUGGGCGAAAGCCUGACGGAGCAACGCCGCGUGAGUGAUGAAGGUCUUCGGAUCGUAAAACUCUGUUAUUAGGGAAGAACAUAUGUGUAAGUAACUGUGCACAUCUUGACGGUACCUAAUCAGAAAGCCACGGCUAACUACGUG